Molecule: ribosomal RNA, 471 nt
Filed under: Triticum aestivum (bread wheat)
Lineage: Eukaryota; Viridiplantae; Streptophyta; Magnoliopsida; Poales; Poaceae
Description: partial small subunit ribosomal RNA
Source: RNAcentral
AUGAAUGUAAAUAUUCGAUAUUUACUAAAAAGGGAUACUGGAUAUUUUGGAUUGAAAAUUUACUUGUCCGACCAGCUUCUUGGUACUUGUAAGUUAGUACAACUCUUGGUCAAUGUGGAUGAGGAAACUGACCUGAAACAUCCUAUUUCCUUCACGUAUAAAUGGCUCCCUCCUGCGGAUGAUAAGGAUGAAGAUCGCCGUCAGCCCAAGGGCCUUAACUUUCUCCAUGAUGCCAACCUGCCGGUGAUCUACAAGCAGGCCUUCAACAUCUACUGGACUAGCUGCAGGGUCAGUUUGAGCCUUCACGAGCUCGACAUCGGAGCCAGCACUCUACAUGCUUAUCGACGCGGUGGCCAUCGAGGUCAAACUUGUCCGGAAAUAUUUGUCGGAGUAAUGGAUGUAUCUAUACGCAUUUUAGUUUUAGACACAUCCAUUUUUAUGCAUUUCUUCGACAUGUACUGUGAUUUGUGA